This is a non-coding RNA of Phoenix dactylifera (date palm), 4485 nucleotides long. Lineage: Eukaryota; Viridiplantae; Streptophyta; Magnoliopsida; Arecales; Arecaceae. The record is from RefSeq and is a predicted model, not a curated record.
GACGGUUAGUUUAAGCUCCCACUCCGUGGCCGCUCAACGUAGAGCCUUCUGCGCCUGUAUACAAAACAACGAAAUUGGCGUAGAAGACUUCGAAAUUUCUUCCAGUUUUAUGCGAUCCAAAGCGAUUGGUUAAAUGAAAGACAGAAAGAAUACUUCUUUCUGGAAGCGUGUACUGCUGAAUUGUGUUUUGCAGGUCCAUGCUCACCGAUCUUUAUCUAUUUUGGUCACAUAAAUGGGUGUAUUCCUUAGUUGAAGUGCUUUUUGCUUGAUACUAAGUUGGAUGAAUGUUGGCUAUGCGGUACUCUUUGAAUCAGGCUUUGGACAUUUAUGUGUGUUUCUUUGAUUGCUUAGGUGCGGUUCAUGUUCAUUUCUUGGAUAAUAAUAUUCUAUUUGCAAGGAGUAUGUUCACUUAGUGAAGCACAAAUGCAUACCCCCAAACCAAAAUAUGUUUUUUUUAACUGAAUAUCUGGACAAUUUAUUUUUAUCUGCUUGUUAGCUUUCUGCAGCUUACAAAAUCCAGGGGAAUAUUUAUUUGAAGUAAUGGUCAUUGACUUUGAUUAAUAGCUUAUUGAUAGCCAUGAAGCUCUCUUGCAGUUCACUCACUCUUGUCACUUUGAUCUAUAUAGGCCUAAUGGAACUUUUAUUUGUUCCUAAAUAAUCUAUAAUAUGGUACGCCAUCUCGAUACUGGUGCCACCCUGUUACUGGGUCGGUAUGCCCAGUACGGAGGCCGGUUUAGUGUACCGAGUGUCAAUAUUGCCCCAUACCACGUAUUGGUAUUGAAUCAGCACGGUACACCUCCGUACCGUUCGGUUUGGUAUGGCAUGGCAUACCUUGAUAUGUAAUUUCUCCUUCUAAAAAUUGAUUCUUUUUUUUUUCUCUAUUUUGAAAGUUGUUGCAUGUUCGAUCUUUUAAGGUCCAUAACCUAAUUAUAAUCAUCAAUGAUAUCACCAUAACCCAUUGCAUGCCAGUGAUUCAAUUUUGCUUUCAACAACACCCCGUACCGGUGCUACACUAGCACGGUGUUGGUAUGGCACGAUACAAAAUUUUUUUUGUGCAUCGAGUGUCGGUACGCUACGUGUACCGAGUACAGGUACCAAAUCAGUACGGUACACCCCGUACCAUCUGGUUCGCGCUGGUACGUACCAUGGCAGCACCUAUUAUAUUGCUUAUGUUAUAUGCACAGCAGUAAAUGGUUUUAUCUCAGGUAUGUUACCAUGAUAGAUAAAGGUUAUGUCAGGUACCAUACCAUGAUACACAAAGUUUGACCAAAGUAGCCUGAAACAGAAGUAGGUAUAGGUGUAGAUCUAGGUGCUGGAAUGAGUAAGUGGACUUUUGUAAAAUAAAAUAUCAGGAAGUGCAAACAACUAAACGCAUAUAAAAUAAAAUAUCCCCAAAUACUCUAAAGUAGCUAGGAUAUACUUAUCUGGAUACUGUAUUUUAGAGAGUACAUGCUACAUGUACUAUGCAAACGUAGAAGGCAAUCAAUACGAUAACUUGAUUCAACUGUAUAUGUAAAGGACGGAAAAUACUUGGUUAAAAACCCACUUAGAAGCAUUAAUGCAGGCAUGGUUGAGGCCAAAAUCCUAAAGCUAGCUAGGCACCCCAAGGGUAAGAUUUCUGGUUACAAAACGUUUGAUAUUUUUUGGACAGAAAUAUACCUUAAUAAAGCAACUAUCAAAUCUUAUGAAUAACCAACACAAAUGACUAUAUUUUUAUUUCAUGUCUUGAACUGAAACAAGACUACUGAAAGCCAGCACAUAAUGAGAAGGAUAUCUUCGAAGGAUCACUAAAAACUGAUUGUUUGCCUUGCAACUUUUUGUUAGUGCUGUGUGAUGCUUAGCCACCUUGGUCUUGGUUGUUUCAAGGAUAUCCUGUUCAAUUCAUCGCUAUCAAUUUUUUCGCAAGCUAGACCAUAUAAUUUUCUUUUGCUUUAAGUUUUUUGCCUUAUUGUGAUAUGUUAUAUUGCAUUUUGCUAGCCUCUUCCUAUUUAUCAAACAUGGAAACAAGAAGGGAUAAAGUGAACCCAAAAAAUUGAAAUGGAAUCCAAGCAGAAAUUUGCAAAAAUCAUCCAAUACAGGUAGCUGAGAGAAGAAUGCCAGAUAAUCAUAGUUUCAGUAUUGUAUUUUUUGUAUAUAUGACAUUAUUGAUCUCUCUACAAACUCGAGUGAAGCGAACAGUCAGCUGCAAGAAAAGGGCAUACAGGUAGCAUGUUCAAGUAGACAGGCUAAUUUAUUAUUUUUAUUGAAAUAUGCUCAUGCUUGCAAUCAUAAAAAAAAAUCAUGAGUACUUAUUUGAAAAGAUAUAGUUCCAGUUUGAAAUCCAAAAUCGAGAAAAAAAAGCUCCUCCCGAUCAUCAUUAAAAAACUUUAAGAGUGUCUUCUUAAAUUGUAUUGUCAAAAUUUAUUUGGGAUAUCUUUAUGGCUAUCUGUGUUCUCUUUCAACAUCUUGAUGGUUAAGCGAAAGAGUAUCCAACCUGUCCGUGCACUAAUAUUGGCCUUGGUAUGGAAAUUGCAAAUAUACUGAUUUUUUUUCUCUCUUUCUUUAUUGUUUCCUUAUAUUUCAUAACUUUUCAGGCAAAAGAUUAUGGAAAUGCAUUGCAGGAAAGGUCUCAGAGAUUGAACGUGACAUGUGUUUAAUGGAAUUUCUUGUGCUAAAAUCAUGCAUGCAGAACAUGGUACUCGGAGUUCAUACAUAUGCAAGUAUAUAUAAUAUUUUCCAGAUGAUGAUGCUCUCAUCUUUUAUUCUCUUGAUCGCUAUUCUAGUAACAUGAACUGUCUCUUUUGCUCUUAAAGAUUGGAAACAAGGUGUAAGGUUUUGAAAGGAUUAUAGCAAACUGUGUGAAGUUCUAUCGUCAAACUAAGAGAUCUGGAAUCAGCAUGCAGAGAUUUGGUGAAAAUGUAUGUUUGACAUUAUAUGAUUGUCUAAGGUUCUGAAGGUAUACGUAUCUGGUUUUCUUUUAUCUGUGCUACUAUUGGAUGCAGUAUUUUUUUCUAUCAUCGAUUAUUAAAGACGUAUAUUGUGAGGACCCGUGCGGGCGUGUGCUUAGUCCCACAUUGGUUAUUUGCUGGGUAGAUCUUGGAUACUUAAACAGGAUCAAGGAACCCAAAUAACACCUUUCGGCUAGCCUUUUUGAAUGAGAUCCUGGGUUGUAACAAAUGAUAUCAGAAUAAACCCAGCCCAUAACCUAUGUGAACUAAAGGACACUGCAGCACGGAUCCAUUGGGGUUGACCAUGGGCCGAUUAUGGUGUUUAUGAUUAGAUUUGAAUGGAUUUGAACCCUUAGCCUGACGAGGACGUCAGUGCUUGAACGGGAGGAGUAUGUCAGAACCUGUGUGGGCGUGUGUUUAGUCCCACAUCAGUUAUUUGCUGGGUAGAUCUUGGAUACUUAUAUAAGAUUAAGGAACCAAAAUAAUACCUUCCAGCUAGCUAUUUUGGGUGAGGUCCUAGAUUGUUACAAGUAGUAUCAAAGCGGAUCCGGCCCAUAACCUAUAUAGACUAGGAAACACUGCAACACAGAUUCAUUGAGGCUGACCACAAGUCGAUCAUAGUAUUUGUGAUUAGAUUUGAAUGGAUUUGAACCCUUAGCCUGACAAGAACGUCAGGGCUUAAACGGAAGGAGUAUGUGAGGACCCGUGUGGGCGUAUGUUUAGUCUCACAUCGGUUAUUUGCUGAGUAGAUCUUGGGUACUUAUACAGGAUCAAGAAAUCCAAAUAAUACCUUUCGGUUAGCCUUUUUGGGUAAGGUCCUGGGUUGUGACAUAUAUACUAGGCAGUCGAGUUGCAUAAUAAAGCUACAGACUGGGAAAAAAACGACAUGUUAGAGUAAGUAUCUAGUGAUCAACCAUGGGUAGCUUGUAGGUUUGUAUGGUUCAGAGGCACAAUCUCAUGUUUAUAUUCAGCUUCCACCCCUACGAUGCAGCAUUCAUGAAACACAGGGUCUCUAUUAUGAUGAUGGGAACGGAUUGAUUCUUGCCCCAACAUCUGAUCAGGUAGUGUAACACGCGUUCAAGGAACAUCAAUUGCACCCCGCUCCACGGCAUUAAUAAGGUUUUAUCAUGGAACGUUGGUCCAUCUACUCAGCUUGAUCCACCAAAAUCAGAUUCAAUCAGUGAAGCACCAAUUUUAUUUAUUUGAUAUUCUCUGGAUAAGAAGGUCAUAGGGAUCCAGCGAUCGAAUCAUGAGAUUCAGUUUAAAAAUAGGGAAACUGGUGAGAGCUUUACUCGAAGAUGCAGGCAAGGUUCUGAAAGCAUACUUGGCUUUUUCUGGACAGGCUGCUCAUCUUGUGACAUCAUAUUCAUAAAGACAAGGUACAUUCCCAAGCCUCCUGGUGUCUGAUAAGUGGCGUGUCAAACUUACAUGAAUGUAAAGAAGGCAGCAACUUUUCUUUGAAGUUAUAUUGGCUAUGAAACUUGCAUUUUUAUUCAGGGUUCUCAUACAUAUCUCAAUAUAUGUUUCAUGCAUUUCUUAUAAUCGACCUUAUAGUUAA